Molecule: long non-coding RNA, 3228 nt
Filed under: Brassica napus (rape)
Lineage: Eukaryota; Viridiplantae; Streptophyta; Magnoliopsida; Brassicales; Brassicaceae
Description: long non-coding RNA (BNAP_LNC023297)
Source: RNAcentral
UCUACAUAAAGUUUGAGUAUCUCAUAUUGAUUCUGGCUCUACCUAGUGAAACAACCGUAUUGCAAAUAAGAUAAUACGUUAAAAGAAAAUGAUGAGCAUCUACAUUUGUAUUCAAAGGAUCAGACUUUAGACGGAGACCAAACUCACAUGAUCAAUCUGCCGCGUAGCAGGCGUGACCAUCCCAUCAACAGCCUUAGUCAAAUCACUGUAAUAACUCUCCAGAACAGUAGACUUCUUCUUCUCCGCACCGGAGAGAGAGAGAACCAAAGCUUAGGCCUCAGCACAGGAGGUAUCCCUUUCCUAAUCAACCUCUUCAACGUGAUCGCAUACUCAAAGCAGAUAUCUUCAGUGACGUCUUCAAUGCGAUACCACCGUCUCCGAUCAAUAGAAUAUCCGGCUGGAGAUACCAGUCAGUUCCUUUGCUGGCUUCGAGAGCCCACCAGACUCUCCCUUGGCUCCUCACUUUCUCUCUGACUUAGUUCAAGACGUUGACGUCGUCGACGUUUCCUUCCACCGUGAAACUGUAUAGGUCCUGGAAUUUGACGACAGUGUUGGCUCGUCGGGCGUGGAUGCUGGGGCGGGAUGGGGAUUUGGGAUUGGAGCUCCGUUCUUAAGUCUCUUUUGCUUUGGAUACCAAACAUCGUGGGUUCUUGUCUGAUUUUUUCUCGUCAGUUUCGGACCAAUCACGAACAUGUCAAGAGGAAAAAACAGAGGAAAUGAAAAGGAAGCUCCUUUCUUGUUUGGAUUUAAAUUUUUUUAUUAAAAGUUGUAAUCUUUCAAUAUUAUAAUGGUGUCACGUUCUGCAAACGUUAUCUCUCUCUAAUCUUCAUCUCUACGCAGUCAAAAAAAAUUUUUGAAUUAAAAAAUCAGAAUCAAAAGAAGAAGCCAAAAACAAAUGAUCUGGUGAGGAACAGUAACACUAAAAUGGAAAACAAAAGUUAUAAUAAAACGAUAACCCAGUAAACAAUGACAAAUUUGCUGUAGCGAUCAAACACAGAUCUAAAAACAUGAAACGAUGAACUUACAUUAAGGUCAACCAGAAGCAUGUCAACCCACAUGAGCUCGCCACCGCGCUUCACAUUUCUCGCCUCCCAGAACUGCAACAGCCGAGCCUCAACGACGCCGGAGCACUUGCCGGACUUCAAGUCGGAGAAGAAGACUCUCGCCAAUCCAGUACCUUGGACUCCCUCUCACUACAAAGCUAAUGACCAAGCACGACUAUGAGCCACUCCUAACCAAAAUACGGGCGCGUCUCCUUUCAUGGACAAGCAAAGCUCUUUCGUAUGCUGGUAGACUUCAGCUCAUCAAGUCUGUCAUUGCCAGCCUCGCAAAUUUUUGGUGUGCUGCAUUCUGCUUGCCCCAGGCUUGCAGUGACGACAUAGAGAGUAUGUGCUCUGCCUUUCUUUGGAGUGGUUCUCCAAACAACACGUCAAUGGCUAAGAUUGCGUGGGUGGAGAUUUGUCAACCGUAUGAGGAAGGAGGCCUUGGCCUUAGGCGUUUAAACGAUGUGAAUACGGUCUUUAUCUUGAAACUAAUCUGGCGGCUUAUGUCUCAGGCCCUUUCUCUAUGGGGCGCUUGGGUAAAUAAAUAUCUGCUUCGUGAUGAGACCCUCUGGGACGUCAAGGAUACUGGUCUUGGAUCAUGGGUGUGGAGGAAACUGUUACGGUUCAGAAGUUAGGCCCGCAGUUUCAUCCGUAUGGACAUUAAAAGAGGUAUGACAGUGAGGUUUUGGACUGAUCUAUGGCAUCACAGGGGUCGGUUGAUAGAGAUUACUGGAGAGAUUGGCACGCAAAAACUUGGCAUUCCUAGGAAUGCAACAAUAAAUGAGGUACUCGUUGACAGAGAAUGGAGAUUUAGAAGAUGCAGAGACCAACGAAUCCAAACGCUAAUGCAAGAGGUCCGCAUGUCUCAGGUGACACUCUCCGCGGGUGAAAAAGAUGGGGUUUUGUGGAAACUGGGGCCAGAUGACUAUGGAGAUAGAUUCAGCUCUAGCGCGACAUGGCAGCAGAUAAGACAGCAACAAGAUAGGGUCCAAUGGACUCAGCUGGUUUGGUUCGCGCAAGGCGUUCCCCGAUUUGCGUUCAUCACCUGGCUAGCGUUCAAGGACAGGCUCGCUACUGGUCAGCGUACGCGUAAAUGGGGCCAGCUGCAAGGGUGUCUAUUCUGUGGAGAGCCGGAGGAGUCGCGCGAUCAUCUUUAUUUCGCGUGUCCGUAUACGUUCACUCUAUGGCUGCAGGUUGUUGGGAAGUUGCUUGGUGUGGAACCGGACCCAGAUUGGGAGACCACUAUUCUGCAGAUGCUCUCUGGCACAUAUGACCGGCUAACGUUUAUAUUGCUUCGUUUGGUGCUGCAAGUAACUAUUUACUUCAUCUGGAGGGAACGUAAUGAUAGGAAGCACAAUAGCGCAGCAAAGCCAGUGGCGCAGCUGUCUCGACUGAUCGAUAAAACUGUGAGGAAUCGCAUCAUGUCUACAAAGUAUCAUCUGAAGCCGAGGUUGCAGGAACUGAUGGUUCGUUGGUUUGAAGCUCACAUGGCAUAGGAAGCCAAUAGAGCAGCAAUUGCGUAGAGUAGCCAUUUCUUACAUUAGUUUGAAAGACUACACAGUUGUGUAUAUACUUUUCCAAAGUUGAUCAAUAAAUUGAAUAUUUCAUCAAAAAAAAAAAUUCAAAAGAAAAUAAUGGUUGUCUACAUAAAGUUUGAGUAUCUCAUAUUGAUUCUGGCUCUACCUAGUGAAACAACCGUAUUGCAAAUAAGAUAAUACGUUAAAAGAAAAUGAUGAGCAUCUACAUUUGUAUUCAAAGGAUCAGACUUUAGACGGAGACCAAACUCACAUGAUCAAUCUGCCGCGUAGCAGGCGUGACCAUCCCAUCAACAGCCUUAGUCAAAUCACUGUAAUAACUCUCCAGAACAGUAGACUUCUUCUUCUCCGCACCGGAGAGAGAGAGAACCAAAGCUUAGGCCUCAGCACAGGAGGUAUCCCUUUCCUAAUCAACCUCUUCAACGUGAUCGCAUACUCAAAGCAGAUAUCUUCAGUGACGUCUUCAAUGCGAUACCACCGUCUCCGAUCAAUAGAAUAUCCGGCUGGAGAUACCAGUCAGUUCCUUUGCUGGCUUCGAGAGCCCACCAGACUCUCCCUUGGCUCCUCACUUUCUCUCUGACUUAGUUCAAGACGUUGACGUCGUCGACGUUUCCUUCCACCGUGAAACUGUAUAGGUCCUGGAAUUUGAC